UGAGGAAUAUUGCGCAAUGGGGGCAACCCUGACGCAGCAACGCCGCGUGAGUGAGGAAGGUUUUCGGACCGUAAAGCUCUGUCGAGCGGGAAGAAGUGUGUCAUGGCUAAUAUCCAUGAUACUUGACGGUACCGCUAAAGGAAGCACCGGCUAACUCCGUGCCAGCAGCCGCGGUCAUACGGUGGGUGCAAGCGUUGUUCGGAAUUAUUGGGCGUAAAGAGCGUGUAGGCGGCUAGAUAAGUCAGAUGUGAAAUCCCUGGGCUUAACCCAGGACGGGCAUUUGAAACUAUCUAGCUUGAGUAAGGGAGAGGAAAGUGGAAUUCCUGGUGUAGAGGUGAAAUUCGUAGAUAUCAGGAGGAACACCGGUGGCGAAGGCGACUUUCUGGCCCUAUACUGACGCUGAGACGCGAGAGCGUGGGUAGCAAACA
RNAcentral lists this ribosomal RNA (428 nucleotides) under uncultured prokaryote. RNAcentral describes it as "bacterial SSU rRNA". It matches the Rfam family "Bacterial small subunit ribosomal RNA", at positions 355 to 774 of the family's 1533-position model. The record is from RNAcentral.